GCCUGUCUGGGGCCGGCCGCCGAGUGAGUACUGGGGUGCGAGGCGUUUGUCGGAUUCACUGGGGGUAAAGGGUGCGUAGGUGGUUGGGUAAGUCGGAUGUGAAAUCUCCGGGCUCAUCUCGGAAAUGGCAGUGGGAACUACCCUGCUGGAGGGGCGGAGGGGGGACUGGAAUUCUCGGUGUAGCAGUGAAAUGCGUAGAUAUCGAGAGGAACACCAGUGGCGAAGGCGAGUCCCUGGACGACUCCUGACACUGAGGCACGAAAGCUAGGGGAGCAAACAGGAUUAGAUACCCGUGUAGUC
This 300-nucleotide ribosomal RNA is filed under the name uncultured Pyrococcus sp. RNAcentral describes it as "bacterial SSU rRNA". It matches the Rfam family "Bacterial small subunit ribosomal RNA", at positions 496 to 795 of the family's 1533-position model. The record is from RNAcentral. Lineage: Archaea; Methanobacteriati; Methanobacteriota; Thermococci; Thermococcales; Thermococcaceae.